Molecule: ribosomal RNA, 253 nt
Filed under: uncultured bacterium
Lineage: Bacteria
Description: partial 16S ribosomal RNA
Rfam family: Bacterial small subunit ribosomal RNA
Source: RNAcentral
GACGUAGGGCGCGAGCGUUGUCCGGAUUUAUUGGGCGUAAAGAGCUCGUAGGCGGCUUGUCGCGUCGACUGUGAAAACCCGCGGCUCAACCGCGGGCCUGCAUUCGAUACGGGCAGGCUAGAGUUCGGUAGGGGAGACUGGAAUUCCUGGUGUAGCGGUGAAAUGCGUAGAGAUCGGCAGGAACACCCAGGGGGAAACCAGCCGGCUGGGGACGUGCUGACGCUCAGGGGCGAAAGCGUGGGGAGCGAACCGG